RNAcentral lists this non-coding RNA (45 nucleotides) under Schistosoma mansoni. The record is from RNAcentral. Lineage: Eukaryota; Metazoa; Platyhelminthes; Trematoda; Strigeidida; Schistosomatidae.
AUCCAGCUGACGAGUCCUAAAUAGGACGCGACUCGCAUCCUAGAU